UACAGAGGUCUCAAGCGUUGUUCGGAUUCAUUGGGCGUAAAGGGUGCGUAGGUGGCAGGGUAAGUCGGAUGUGAAAUCCCGGGGCUCAACCUCGGAACUGCAUUCGAUACUGCUUUGCUGGAGUACUGGAGAGGAGAUUGGAAUUUACGGUGUAGCAGUGAAAUGCGUAGAUAUCGUAAGGAAGACCAGUGGCGAAGGCGGAUCUCUGGACAGUGACGUGACGCUGAGACGCGAAAGCGUGGGGAGCAAACAGG
RNAcentral lists this ribosomal RNA (254 nucleotides) under uncultured bacterium. RNAcentral's name for it is "partial 16S ribosomal RNA". It matches the Rfam family "Bacterial small subunit ribosomal RNA", at positions 524 to 776 of the family's 1533-position model. The record is from RNAcentral.